CUCCUGGAAACGGGUGGUAAUGCCGGAUGCUCCGCCCCCUCGCAUGGGGGGUCGGGAAGGCUUUUGCGGAAUGGGAUGGGGUCGCGUCCUAUCAGCUUGUUGGCGGGGCGACGGCCCACCAAGGCUUCGACGGGUAGCCGGCCUGAGAGGGCGACCGGCCACAUUGGGACUGAGAUACGGCCCAGACUCCUACGGGAGGCAGCAGUGGGGAAUAUUGCACAAUGGGGGGAACCCUGAUGCAGCGACGCCGCGUGCGGGAUGGAGGCCUUCGGGUCGUGAACCGCUUUUGAUUGGGAGCAAGCGUGAGUGAGUGUACCUUUCGAAUAAGCACCGGCUAACUACGUGCCAGCAGCCGCGGUAAUACGUAGGGUGCAAGCGUUGUCCGGAAUCAUUGGGCGUAAAGGGCUCGUAGGCGGCUCGUCGCGUCCGGUGUGAAAGCCCAUCGCUUAACGGUGGGUCUGCGCCGGGUACGGGCGGGCUUGAGUGCGGCAGGGGAGGCUGGAAUUCCCGGUGUAACGGUGGAAUGUGUAGAUAUCGGGAAGAACACC
Molecule: ribosomal RNA, 548 nt
Filed under: uncultured Bifidobacterium sp.
Lineage: Bacteria; Bacillati; Actinomycetota; Actinomycetes; Bifidobacteriales; Bifidobacteriaceae
Description: bacterial SSU rRNA
Rfam family: Bacterial small subunit ribosomal RNA
Source: RNAcentral